UUGUUAGAAUCAGCACACACAAUGAAUGAAGCUGCUGGUUUGCAAUUCAGUUAUGAAGCUGCUUCUCAUAAAAGGAAACAAAGUCCCCCAACUUUCAGAAAGACGACUGAACAAGUCACAAAAAGGCAAAGACUGAUUAUCAGGAUAAGGCAGAUCCCCAGAGAGAAUGGGAGAAGCAAGAGAUGCUGGUGGAGAAGCUGC
Long non-coding RNA from Melopsittacus undulatus (budgerigar), 201 nucleotides. RefSeq lists it as uncharacterized. The transcript has 3 exons. Lineage: Eukaryota; Metazoa; Chordata; Aves; Psittaciformes; Psittaculidae. The record is from RefSeq and is a predicted model, not a curated record.